CUGGCUCAGGAUGGACGCUGGCGGCGUGCUUAACACAUGCAAGUCGAACGAGGUGCUUCGGAUGAAGUUUCGGAUGGAUUUGUUGCACUGAGUGGCGGACGGGUGAGUAACGCGUGGGAACCUGCCCCAUUCCGGGGGAUACCAGUUGGAAACGACUGUUAAUACCGCAUAAGCGCACGGGAGCGCAUGGUCCUGUGUGAAAAAACUCCGGUGGAAUGGGAUGGCCCCCGCGUCUGAUUAGCCAGUUGGUGAGGUAACGGCCCACCAAAGCGACGAUCAGUAGCCGGCCUGAGAGGGCGACCGGCCACAUUGGGACUGAGACACGGCCCAAACUCCUACGGGAGGCAGCAGUGGGGAAUAUUGCACAAUGGAGGAAACUCUGAUGCAAGCGACGCCGCGUGAGUGAAGGAGUAUUUCGGUAUGUAAAGCUCUAUCGGCAGGGAAGAAGAUGACGGUACCUGCAGAAGAAGCCCCGGCUAACUACGUGCCAGCCGCAGC
Molecule: ribosomal RNA, 498 nt
Filed under: uncultured bacterium
Lineage: Bacteria
Description: bacterial SSU rRNA
Rfam family: Bacterial small subunit ribosomal RNA
Source: RNAcentral